Molecule: transfer RNA, 76 nt
Filed under: bacterium
Lineage: Bacteria
Also listed under: 3 other names
Description: tRNA-His
Rfam family: tRNA
About the family: Transfer RNA (tRNA) molecules are approximately 80 nucleotides in length. Their secondary structure includes four short double-helical elements and three loops (D, anti-codon, and T loops). Further hydrogen bonds mediate the characteristic L-shaped molecular structure. tRNAs have two regions of fundamental functional importance: the anti-codon, which is responsible for specific mRNA codon recognition, and the 3' end, to which the tRNAs corresponding amino acid is attached (by aminoacyl-tRNA synthetases). tRNAs cope with the degeneracy of the genetic code in two manners: having more than one tRNA (with a specific anti-codon) for a particular amino acid; and 'wobble' base-pairing, i.e. permitting non-standard base-pairing at the 3rd anti-codon position.
Source: RNAcentral
GUGGCUAUGGUCUAGCAGUCUAAGACUCUGGGUUGUGAACUCGGAAACGUGGGCGCGAAUCCCACUAGCCACCCCA